GGAGUUGUGGCUCAGUGGUAGAGCGCUUGCCUAGUAUGUGUGAGGCUUUGGGUUCGAUUCUCAGCACCA
This is a non-coding RNA of Ictidomys tridecemlineatus (thirteen-lined ground squirrel), 69 nucleotides long. The record is from Rfam. Lineage: Eukaryota; Metazoa; Chordata; Mammalia; Rodentia; Sciuridae.